Molecule: ribosomal RNA, 497 nt
Filed under: uncultured bacterium
Lineage: Bacteria
Description: partial 16S ribosomal RNA
Rfam family: Bacterial small subunit ribosomal RNA
Source: RNAcentral
GAUGAACGCUGGCGGCGUGCCUAAUACAUGCAAGUCGAGCGAACAGACGAGGAGCUUGCUCCUCUGACGUUAGCGGCGGACGGGUGAGUAACGCGUGGAUAACCUACCUAUAAGACUGGGAUAACUUCGGGAAACCGGAGCUAAUACCGGAUAAUAUAUUGAACCGCAUGGUUCAAUAGUGAAAGACGGUUUUGCUGUCACUUAUAGAUGGAUCCGCGCCGCAUUAGCUAGUUGGUAAGGUAACGGCUUACCAAGGCAACGAUGCGUAGCCGACCUGAGAGGGUGAUCGGACACACUGGAACUGAGACACGGUCCAGACUCCUACGGGAGGCAGCAGUAGGGAAUCUUCCGCAAUGGGCGAAAGCCUGACGGAGCAACGCCGCGUGAGUGAUGAAGGUCUUCGGAUCGUAAAACUCUGUUAUUAGGGAAGAACAAAUGUGUAAGUAACUAUGCACGUCUUGACGGUACCUAAUCAGAAAGCCACGGCUAACUACGUG